RNAcentral lists this ribosomal RNA (791 nucleotides) under Hypogymnia imshaugii. Its description in RNAcentral is "mitochondrial SSU rRNA". It matches the Rfam family "Bacterial small subunit ribosomal RNA", at positions 388 to 1149 of the family's 1533-position model. Lineage: Eukaryota; Fungi; Ascomycota; Lecanoromycetes; Lecanorales; Parmeliaceae. The record is from RNAcentral.
CUUGCAUCAUUGUAAAAAUGAUGCAGGAUCGACUAUGUCGAAUAAAAUUCUAGGUAGAAUUAUGAUAAUGACAUUGUCUGCCUAUGUGUCUUGACCAAAUUACGUGCCAGCAGUCGCGGUAAUACGUAGAAGACUAGUGUUAUUCAUGUUUAAUCGGUUUAAAGGGUACCUAGACGGUAAAUCAAGCCUAAAAUUAAAUGAAGGGACUAAUUUACUAGAGUUACUUAUGAGGGGGUAUUAAAGUACUGCUGGUGUAGAGAUGAAAUUCUGUCAUACCUCUUUUCAAUAGAAAAACAAUGGCACAGGUAUAGGCGAAAGCAUCCCCUUAUGUGAUAACUGACGUUGAGGGACGAAGGCUUUGUGUAGCGAACAGGAUUAGAUACCCCAGUAGUCAAAGCAGAAAAUGAUGAAUGUCAUAGAUUAGAUAAAUAAGUUUAUUCUAUAAAUGAAAGUGUAAGCAUUCCACCUCAAGAGUAAUUUGGCAACAUUGGAACUGAAAUCAUUAGACCGUUUCUGAAACCAGUAGUGAAGUAUGUUGUUUAAUUUGAUGAUCCGCAAAAAACCUUACCACAAUUUGAAUAUUUAUAUUUUUUUAUUGUUUUCUUUUUAAUUUUCUUCUGAUUUGAUUUUUCUAAAGAAAAAAAGAAAAAGAGGCGAUAUGAUAUAUUUACAAGCGUUGCACGGCUGUCUUCAGUUAAUGUCGCGAGACUUUGGUUAGUUCCAUUAAAUUAACGUAAACCCUUACUUUAUUUUUAUAUAGAGUAGUUCCCCGCUAUAUUGGAUAUGAUAAC